UGGCGGCGUGCCUAAUCAUGCAAGCUCGAGCGAAGAGAUGGGAGCUUGCUCCCUGAUCUUAGCGGCGGACGGGUGAGUAACACGUGGGCAACCUGCCCUGCAGACUGGGAUAACUCCGGGAAACCGGAGCUAAUACCGGGUAAUACAUCGCACCGCAUGGUGCAAUGUUGAAAGUUGGCUUUCUGAGCUAACACUGCAGGAUGGGCCCGCGGCGCAUUAGCUAGUUGGUAAGGUAAUGGCUUACCAAGGCGACGAUGCGUAGCCGACCUGAGAGGGUGAUCGGCCACACUGGGACUGAGACACGGCCCAGACUCCUACGGGAGGCAGCAGUAGGGAAUCUUCCGCAAUGGACGAAAGUCUGACGGAGCAACGCCGCGUGAGUGACGAAGGCCUUCGGGUCGUAAAGCUCUGUUGUUAGGGAAGAACAAGUACCGUUCGAAUAGGGCGGUACCUUGACGGUACCUAACCAGAAAGCCACGGCUAACUACGUGCCAGCAGCCGCGGUAAUACGUAGGUGGCAAGCGUUGUCCGGAAUUAUUGGGCGUAAAGCGCGCGCAGGCGGUCUUUUAAGUCUGAUG
Molecule: ribosomal RNA, 578 nt
Filed under: uncultured Bacillus sp.
Lineage: Bacteria; Bacillati; Bacillota; Bacilli; Caryophanales; Bacillaceae
Description: bacterial SSU rRNA
Rfam family: Bacterial small subunit ribosomal RNA
Source: RNAcentral